RNAcentral lists this ribosomal RNA (975 nucleotides) under Mycolicibacterium smegmatis. RNAcentral describes it as "bacterial SSU rRNA". It matches the Rfam family "Bacterial small subunit ribosomal RNA", at positions 8 to 993 of the family's 1533-position model. The record is from RNAcentral. Lineage: Bacteria; Bacillati; Actinomycetota; Actinomycetes; Mycobacteriales; Mycobacteriaceae.
GAGAGUUUGAUCCUGGSUCAGGACGAACGCUGGCGGCGUGCUUAACACAUGCAAGUCGAACGGAAAGGCCCCUUCGGGGGUGCUCGAGUGGCGAACGGGUGAGUAACACGUGGGUGAUCUGCCCUGCACUUUGGGAUAAGCCUGGGAAACUGGGUCUAAUACCGAAUACACCUUGCUGGUCGCAUGGCCUGGUAGGGGAAAGCUUUUGCGGUGUGGGAUGGGCCCGCGGCCUAUCAGCUUGUUGGUGGGGUGAUGGCCUACCAAGGCGACGACGGGUAGCCGGCCUGAGAGGGUGACCGGCCACACUGGGACUGAGAUACGGCCCAGACUCCUACGGGAGGCAGCAGUGGGGAAUAUUGCACAAUGGGCGCAAGCCUGAUGCAGCGACGCCGCGUGAGGGAUGACGGCCUUCGGGUUGUAAACCUCUUUCAGCACAGACGAAGCGUAAGUGACGGUAUGUGCAGAAGAAGGACCGGCCAACUACGUGCCAGCAGCCGCGGUAAUACGUAGGGUCCGAGCGUUGUCCGGAAUUACUGGGCGUAAAGAGCUCGUAGGUGGUUUGUCGCGUUGUUCGUGAAAACUCACAGCUUAACUGUGGGCGUGCGGGCGAUACGGGCAGACUAGAGUACUGCAGGGGAGACUGGAAUUCCUGGUGUAGCGGUGGAAUGCGCAGAUAUCAGGAGGAACACCGGUGGCGAAGGCGGGUCUCUGGGCAGUAACUGACGCUGAGGAGCGAAAGCGUGGGGAGCGAACAGGAUUAGAUACCCUGGUAGUCCACGCCGUAAACGGUGGGUACUAGGUGUGGGUUUCUUUCCUAAGGAUCCGUGCCGUAGCUAACGCAUUAAGUACCCCGCCUGGGGAGUACGGCCGCAAGGCUAAAACUCAAAGGAAUUGACGGGGGCCCGCUCAAACGGCGGAGCAUGUGGAUUAAUUCGAUGCAACGCGAAGAACCUUACCUGGGUUUGACAUGCACAG